This is a non-coding RNA of Peromyscus maniculatus bairdii (prairie deer mouse), 1177 nucleotides long. Lineage: Eukaryota; Metazoa; Chordata; Mammalia; Rodentia; Cricetidae. The record is from RefSeq and is a predicted model, not a curated record.
CGUGGCAAUCACUUCGGCCCAGGAUUCGCCCGUUUUGUGGGGCAGUCACCUAGGGUGUGGACAGGUUGAAACAGCUCCUCCGUGCACACGCGUCCCUUUAUUGGGUUUCUGGAAAUGGCACUUCUUAACCCGGCGUGAACGACACUCUUCGGGCUUUGCAGUACUUGUGUGUAGCUUAGCUUUCUCCGCAUGCCCCUCUGCACUCUCCCCCUCCUCCUCACCUUGAACCGUAAGGUAGUGCCUCGGUGCGCUGGUACUCAUUCCCGGGAGCUAUGGUGUGUCUCAAUACUUUGGCUACUGUCCAGUAAUCACUUCACAGACUUUAACCCUUUGCGUGCACUAGUACUUGAAGGAGUCCCCAGAAACAAACACACUGGCAAAACCCAUCUUCUUAUCCUACAAAAAUGCAUUGUUUGUUUUGAAUGUUGUUGGAGACGGGGGUCUUGUUACCUAUCCCUGGCUGUCCUGCUACUUGCUGUGUAGCCCAGGCUGGACCUUACACCUGUUUCAUCCCUGCUGCCUUGGCGUCUUCAGAUUCGGAGGUGAUUUCCUGAGGCUUAAAACAAUUUGCGUUCCUAUUCAAAUCUACCUCGAAUAUCCAACAUCCGUUCCUGACAAAGUCCAGUAGUAGUGAGACAAUGUUGCUGUAGGUUUUCGAAGUUAGAUACAACCUCCAUCCCCAGAUAACUGAAAUCUACAGUGGUCUGGAAAUCAGAAAAGAGAGAGAUGAGGACAAAGGUUUGCUCUAGUCACAUUGGGGCCUUCCUCAGGAGUGGUCAGUUUAGGAUACAGACCGUUCCAGGGCAGAGUUGUGACAUGACCCUAAUCCAUGAUUUCUUUCAGCAGCCCAGAGUCUGCUAAUGAAAAUGAGCUGUGCCAGAAACUUCUUGAAGCACACAACCUGUGUAUGCAUUUUCUCUUAAUGGGUUGAAACCACUUUGGAGCUAUGCCGGGCGAGGGACCCAGCAUUGGUAGGCAAGCAUUGCAGCAACCAUGACCUCCCAUGUGCCCAACGUGGGAAGACUGGAGUGGAAUUGCUGUUCCAGGUACUUUCUGUUGUUCUCUGGGAAGGCCUGGCUGUCCCAGAACUUGCUCUGUAGACCAGGCUGACCUGGAAUUCACAGAGGAUCCACCUGCCUCUGCCUCUCAAUGCUCGGAUUAAAGGCAUGAACCAUCA